Molecule: ribosomal RNA, 492 nt
Filed under: uncultured bacterium
Lineage: Bacteria
Description: partial 16S ribosomal RNA
Rfam family: Bacterial small subunit ribosomal RNA
Source: RNAcentral
AGUGAACGCUGGCGAUAGGCCUAACACAUGCAAGUCGAACGGCAGCACAGUAAGAGCUUGCUCUUACGGGUGGCGAGUGGCGGACGGGUGAGGAAUACAUCGGAAUCUACUUUUUCGUGGGGGAUAACGUAGGGAAACUUACGCUAAUACCGCAUACGACCUACGGGUGAAAGCAGGGGAUCUUCGGACCUUGCGCGAUUGAAUGAGCCGAUGUCGGAUUAGCUAGUUGGCGGGGUAAAGGCCCACCAAGGCGACGAUCCGUAGCUGGUCUGAGGGGAUGAUCAGCCACACUGGAACUGAGACACGGUCCAGACUCCUACGGGAGGCAGCAGUGGGGAAUAUUGGACAAUGGGCGCAAGCCUGAUCCAGCCAUACCGCGUGGGUGAAGAAGGCCUUCGGGUUGUAAAGCCCUUUUGUUGGGAAAGAAAAGCAGCAGGUUAAUACCCCGCUGUUCUGACGGUACCCAAAGAAUAAGCACCGGCUAACUUCGUG